Molecule: ribosomal RNA, 562 nt
Filed under: Trifolium fucatum
Lineage: Eukaryota; Viridiplantae; Streptophyta; Magnoliopsida; Fabales; Fabaceae
Description: eukaryotic LSU rRNA
Rfam family: 5.8S ribosomal RNA (bases 112-267)
Source: RNAcentral
AACACAAACCCGACGCUGAAUGCGUCAAGGAAUUUAAAAUUUGCUCUGAGCGCAUCGACAUACACCGGAGACGGUUUUUGUGUCGGUUGUGUUCUGACACGAAUAUAGAAUGACUCUCGGCAACGGAUAUCUAGGCUCUUGCAUCGAUGAAGAACGUAGCGAAAUGCGAUACUUGGUGUGAAUUGCAGAAUCCCGUGAACCAUCGAGUCUUUGAACGCAAGUUGCGCCCGAUGCCAUUAGGUUGAGGGCACGUCUGCCUGGGCGUCACAUAUCGAAGCCUCUUGCCAAUUUCCUAUUGAGGGGUAUUGUGCAGGGUGAAUGUUGGCCUCCCGUGAGCUCCAUCGUCUCAUGGUUGGUUGAAAAUCGAGACCUUGGUAGGGUGUGCCGUGAUAGAUGGUGGUUGUGUUACACACAGACCAAGUCAUGUGCUGCUCUAUCGAACUUAGCCUCUUUUACCCACAUGCGUUACUAAACGCUCGUGAUGAGACCUCAGGUCAGGCGGGGCUACCCGCUGAAUUUAAGCAUAUCAAUAAGCGGAGGAAAAGAAACUAACAAGGAUUCC